Molecule: unclassified non-coding RNA, 309 nt
Filed under: uncultured Nocardioidaceae bacterium
Lineage: Bacteria; Bacillati; Actinomycetota; Actinomycetes; Propionibacteriales; Nocardioidaceae
Description: contains 16S-23S intergenic spacer region
Rfam family: Bacterial small subunit ribosomal RNA (bases 37-309)
Source: RNAcentral
UCCGGUUUGAUACCGGCGGUCCCGCUAGACAUGGUAACUAGCGGCGGAGCAUGUUGCUUAAUUCGAAGCGACGCGAAGAACCUUACCUGGGUUUGACAUGCCGGGAAAUCCUGCAGAGAUGUGGGGUCCUUUUUGGGUCCGGUACAGGUGGUGCAUGGCUGUCGUCAGCUCGUGUCGUGAGAUGUUGGGUUAAGUCCCGCAACGAGCGCAACCCUUGUCCCAUGUUGCCAGCGGGUGAUGCCGGGGACUCGUGGGAGACUGCCGGGGACAACUCGGAGGAAGGUGGGGAUGACGUAUCACAGACUAUAC